RNAcentral lists this ribosomal RNA (430 nucleotides) under uncultured bacterium. RNAcentral describes it as "partial 16S ribosomal RNA". It matches the Rfam family "Bacterial small subunit ribosomal RNA", at positions 354 to 796 of the family's 1533-position model. The record is from RNAcentral.
GUGGGGAAUAUUGGACAAUGGGCGCAAGCCUGAUCCAGCAACGCCGCGUGAGGGAUGACGGCCUUCGGGUUGUAAACCUCUUUCAGCAGGGACGAAGCGAAAGUGACGGUACCUGCAGAAGAAGGACCGGCCAACUACGUGCCAGCAGCCGCGGUAAUACGUAGGGUCCGAGCGUUGUCCGGAAUUAUUGGGCGUAAAGGGCUCGUAGGCGGUCUGUCGCGUCGGGAGUGAAAACUCAGGGCUCAACCCUGAGCGUGCUUCCGAUACGGGCAGACUAGAGGUAUGCAGGGGAGAACGGAAUUCCUGGUGUAGCGGUGGAAUGCGCAGAUAUCAGGAGGAACACCGGUGGCGAAGGCGGUUCUCUGGGCAUUACCUGACGCUGAGGAGCGAAAGCAUGGGGAGCGAACAGGAUUAGAUACCCGAGUAGUCC